RNAcentral lists this ribosomal RNA (445 nucleotides) under uncultured bacterium. RNAcentral's name for it is "bacterial SSU rRNA". It matches the Rfam family "Bacterial small subunit ribosomal RNA", at positions 335 to 795 of the family's 1533-position model. The record is from RNAcentral.
ACUCCUACGGGAGGCAGCAGCAGGGAAUAUUGCACAAUGGGCGAAAGCCUGAUGCAGCGACGCCGCGUGGGGGAUGAAGGCCCUAGGGUCGUAAACCCCUUUCAGUGGGGACGAAACUGACGGUACCCACAGAAGAAGGUCCGGCCAACUACGUGCCAGCAGCCGCGGUAAGACGUAGGGACCAAGCGUUGUCCGGAUUUAUUGGGCGUAAAGAGCUCGUAGGCGGUUGCGUAAGUCGGAUGUGAAAACUUGGGGCUCAACCCCGAGACGCCAUCCGAUACUGCGCUGACUUGAAUCCAGUAGGGGAGUGUGGAAUUUGUUGUGUAGCGGUGAAAUGCGCAGAUAUAACAAGGAACACCUAUGGCGAAGGCAGCACUCUGGGCUGGUAUUGACGCUGAGGAGCGAAAGCGUGGGUAGCAAACAGGAUUAGAUACCCUGGUAGGUC